GCCCCCAUAGCUUAAUGGAUAAAGUAGCGGACUUCUAAGCCGUUGAUGUUGGUUCGAUUCCAGCUGGGGGCACAA
Molecule: transfer RNA, 75 nt
Filed under: Candidatus Kaiserbacteria bacterium RIFCSPHIGHO2_02_FULL_54_22
Lineage: Bacteria; Candidatus Kaiseribacteriota
Also listed under: 4 other names
Description: tRNA-Arg
Rfam family: tRNA
About the family: Transfer RNA (tRNA) molecules are approximately 80 nucleotides in length. Their secondary structure includes four short double-helical elements and three loops (D, anti-codon, and T loops). Further hydrogen bonds mediate the characteristic L-shaped molecular structure. tRNAs have two regions of fundamental functional importance: the anti-codon, which is responsible for specific mRNA codon recognition, and the 3' end, to which the tRNAs corresponding amino acid is attached (by aminoacyl-tRNA synthetases). tRNAs cope with the degeneracy of the genetic code in two manners: having more than one tRNA (with a specific anti-codon) for a particular amino acid; and 'wobble' base-pairing, i.e. permitting non-standard base-pairing at the 3rd anti-codon position.
Source: RNAcentral